This 367-nucleotide long non-coding RNA is filed under the name Crocodylus porosus (Australian saltwater crocodile). RNAcentral describes it as "lncRNA (ENSCPRG00005012976.1)". Lineage: Eukaryota; Metazoa; Chordata; Crocodylia; Crocodylidae. The record is from RNAcentral.
CUGAAACAUAUCCUUUGUCUACACAUUUUCCUUACCUUUUCCAAAGCUAUGUAAUAGAAUUUCUGAUGAAGGCUAUGUGUGCAUUCAAGGUGCUGCUUUGGCUUAUAUAGAGUGCAACUUUCUGUUUACGUUCUGAACAAAGAAUAUCCAUCCUUUUGAUUGGUGCCCAAUACAGCAAGCUGCAGCAGAGAGGGAAUUUAUAAUGAUCACAGUAAAUGCUGACACCAUUGGAACAAAUGUGCUUGCAAAUCAAAUAGAAAUACACUCCAUUGGACUCAUGAGCUUUUAAAGUGCUUUGUCACAGAGGUAGGUGUAUUUUGCAGGAACUCAAGUUUUACGGUUUAAUUCAGAUGCUUUGUAAUUAACU